UCUUCGUCGCGUCUUCAGCCGGCUGUCCGCUCCGUCAAGCGCUCCUGCUGCUCAGGCGUGGAUCAGCGAGGAUGCGUCGACUCCACCUGGGAUCGGCCCAGUUUUAUUUUUCGCAGCAGUACUGGAAAAACAACCAAAGGCUUUCAGGGACUAAACCUCAUUGAACAUCACACAUGUGGAAGUGCACAAAUGUUCAAAAAGGUUCAACAACUUGGAAGCUGAUUGGCCCCACUAUCACUGCAGACGUGUCAGCCACAGUGGGCCUUUGCACCGUGUUUCUGACAGGGUGUUUUUAUCUGCAACAACAAAUUACAUUCUAAGGUAAACUGAAGUAAUAGAAACAAGAGCUGUUCUCACAAACAUCCGAGCACAUCCCAAACAAGGCCAAACGUUUACCUGUACCUUGUCUCCCGUCCACCAAUGAGGUUCUGGUUUAAUUUCCUACCUUAUAAGGUCAGAGAUUUCCAGAAAGAGAGAAGGCGCAGCGCUCUGGGGCGGAAGGAGGCGGGGUGUUUUGUUGCGAGGUCUCGCUGUGGUGUAACUUUCGUUUCGAGCCCUGUCUUUAGCCCCAGUCCCGCUGCUGUUAAAGACCUGACACACAUCAAAGAUGAGCAGAAAUGUAGGAGCAGCAGGUCGCAGCAUGAACGGAACAGACGGCACGCUGUGUGUAUUCAUAUCUUUGUGGGGACCAAAAGUUGGAAGUCUACUUUACUUGUGGGGACCAAAAUCCUGGUCCCCACAAGUUAAAGGCGUUUUGAGACUUUAGGGAAAUGGUUAAAUUGGGUGUUUGUUAAAUUUAGGGUUAUUGUUAGGCAUUCAUUUUUCAUAGUUAUGGUUAGGGAAACCAUUAUGUCAAUUAGAUGUUCCCACAAGAUAUGAAUACUUGACUGGUGUGUGUGUGUGUGUGUGUGUGUGUGUGUGUGUGUGUCUUUAACUGGUUUAACCUGUAGGCAAUGAAAUUAAGCAUACACACUUAAAGUCAGGAUUACUGUGAAUAGAUUUGUCCCACCUGGUGGAUGAAAGGAAUCCUUAAAUGUUUUACACAUAACCCUUCACUGUAAAUGCCUUCAUUAAAAUACCUCUGAAAAAAACCUCUUUAAGAUCCCCACAUCUAAUUAAACUACAUCUGACUCAGCACACAACAUAUUACAGAGAACUGUGAAAUUCAUUAUUAACACUUUAUUUUUCU
This is a long non-coding RNA of Haplochromis burtoni (Burton's mouthbrooder), 1189 nucleotides long. RefSeq lists it as uncharacterized. NCBI's taxonomy places the organism in Eukaryota, Metazoa, Chordata, Actinopteri, Cichliformes, Cichlidae. The record is from RefSeq and is a predicted model, not a curated record. The transcript is spliced from 3 exons.